Molecule: long non-coding RNA, 176 nt
Organism: Stylophora pistillata
Lineage: Eukaryota; Metazoa; Cnidaria; Anthozoa; Scleractinia; Pocilloporidae
Source: RefSeq, a predicted model, not a curated record
CGGAGCAGAAUCGAGGGCACCCUCGCCAGGAAAAAUUAAGAAGGUUCGGUCUAUGGGCCUUGGCACGUGGUUCGCCUUAUGUGGAUAUCCCCUUUAUCGGACCAGUUAUACCGUUCAAAAUAAAGGACAAAAACUUGGAGCUAUAAUUUAAGAACAAAACAAGGGGAAGGAACUAU